AGGAAAGUUUUAUUAUAGCUUUAGGUUCAGUAAUUUAUGGUUUCAUAUGCGAAGUUUUUACUAGAGGAGAUUUUUUGGUGUAGUGAAUAAAUUUAAUGAUUAAGGAGACUUAGAAUUAGAUAUAGAAAGAAUGGUAUAGACUAAUCUUGUGCCAGCAGUUGCGGUUAUACAUGAUAUGCUUCUGAAUUGAGUUCGGGUUAUAUUUGUCACAUUUCUUUAGUAUGAGGGUCAGUUGUAUAAGGUGAAAUUUUGCGAUUGAUCAGAUUAAAUAUGGGGUGAGAAUUUAUUAGAAUUUUGUAAGAAACUAGGAUUAGAUACCCUAUUAUUGAGAAUGUAAAAUUAAAUUCCUGAGUAGUAUUAGAGUUCUUGAAAUUUAAAAAAUUUGGCGGUGUUUUAGUCUGUUCAGAGGAACCUGUCCUGUAAUUGAUGUUCCACGAUUAAUUCGACUUGUUCUUUUAGUUUGUAUAUCGUCGUUAUUUGAAUAUCUUUCAAAGGAAGAAUGUUCAAUAGUUAGAAUUGUAAAAUAAAUCAGAUCAAGGUGCAGCUUACGGAUAAGUAGAGAUGGGUUACAAUAAGAUUAUUAUAUGAAUUGAGAGGUGAAGUUCUCACAUAAAAUUGGAUUUGAUGGUAAGGUGAAUGAUUUAAUUUAUCUGAUUUGAGCUCUAAAAUAUGUACAUAUUGCCCGUCGCUCCUACUUUAAAGUAGGAUAAGUCGUAACAUAGUAGGUGUACCGGAAGGUGUACCUAGAAAGU
RNAcentral lists this non-coding RNA (752 nucleotides) under Prosopocoilus gracilis. The record is from RNAcentral. Lineage: Eukaryota; Metazoa; Arthropoda; Insecta; Coleoptera; Lucanidae.